GAUGAACGCUGGCGGCGUGCUUAACACAUGCAAGUCGAACGGUGAAGCAGGAGCUUGCUCUUGUGAUCAGUGGCGAACGGGUGAGUAACACGUGAGCAACCUGCCCCUGACUCUGGGAUAAGCGCUGGAAACGGCGUCUAAUACUGGAUAUGUGAUGUGACCGCAUGGUCUGCAUCUGGAAAGAAUUUCGGUUGGGGAUGGGCUCGCGGCCUAUCAGCUUGUUGGUGAGGUAAUGGCUCACCAAGGCGUCGACGGGUAGCCGGCCUGAGAGGGUGACCGGCCACACUGGGACUGAGACACGGCCCAGACUCCUACGGGAGGCAGCAGUGGGGAAUAUUGCACAAUGGGCGGAAGCCUGAUGCAGCAACGCCGCGUGAGGGAUGACGGCCUUCGGGUUGUAAACCUCUUUUAGCAGGGAAGAAGCGAAAGUGACGGUACCUGCAGAAAAAGCACCGGCUAACUACGUGCCAGCCGCCGCAGUAA
This 483-nucleotide ribosomal RNA is filed under the name uncultured bacterium. Its description in RNAcentral is "partial 16S ribosomal RNA". It matches the Rfam family "Bacterial small subunit ribosomal RNA", at positions 28 to 523 of the family's 1533-position model. The record is from RNAcentral.